UGGGGAAUAUUGCACAAUGGGGGAAACCCUGAUGCAGCAACGCCGCGUGAGUGAUGACGGCCUUCGGGUUGUAAAGCUCUGUCUUCAGGGACGAUAAUGACGGUACCUGAGGAGGAAGCCACGGCUAACUACGUGCCAGCAGCCGCGGUAAUACGUAGGUGGCAAGCGUUGUCCGGAUUUACUGGGCGUAAAGGGAGCGUAGGCGGACUUUUAAGUGAGAUGUGAAAUACCCGGGCUCAACCUGGGUGCUGCAUUUCAAACUGGAAGUCUAGAGUGCAGGAGAGGAGAGUGGAAUUCCUAGUGUAGCGGUGAAAUGCGUAGAGAUUAGGAAGAACACCAGUGGCGAAGGCGACUCUCUGGACCGUAACUGACGCUGAGGCUCGAAAGCGUGGGGAGCAAACA
Molecule: ribosomal RNA, 402 nt
Filed under: uncultured bacterium
Lineage: Bacteria
Description: bacterial SSU rRNA
Rfam family: Bacterial small subunit ribosomal RNA
Source: RNAcentral